UACAGAGGUCCCAAGCGUUGUUCGGAUUCACUGGGCGUAAAGGGUGCGUAGGCGGUCAGGUAAGUCUGAUGUGAAAUCUCUGGGCUUAACCCAGAAAUGGCAUUGGAUACUAUUUGGCUUGAGAGUUGGAGGGGGGACUGGAAUUCUUGGUGUAGCAGUGAAAUGCGUAGAUAUCAGGAGGAACACCAAUAGCGAAGGCAGCUCGCUGGGACGUUACUGACACUGAGGCGCGAAAGCGUGGGGAGCGAACAGG
Molecule: ribosomal RNA, 253 nt
Filed under: uncultured bacterium
Lineage: Bacteria
Description: partial 16S ribosomal RNA
Rfam family: Bacterial small subunit ribosomal RNA
Source: RNAcentral